This 961-nucleotide ribosomal RNA is filed under the name Sphingobacterium sp. RNAcentral describes it as "bacterial SSU rRNA". It matches the Rfam family "Bacterial small subunit ribosomal RNA", at positions 38 to 990 of the family's 1533-position model. Lineage: Bacteria; Pseudomonadati; Bacteroidota; Sphingobacteriia; Sphingobacteriales; Sphingobacteriaceae. The record is from RNAcentral.
GGGAAGCGGCAGCUAUACAUGCAGUCGGACGGGAUUCAGAUGUAGUAGCUUGCUACAAACUGAUGAGAGUGGCGCACGGGUGCGUAACGCGUGAGCAACCUACCCAUAUCAGGGGGAUAGCCUCUCGAAAGAGAGAUUAACACCGCAUAACAUCAUUUACCGGCAUCGGAUUAUGAUCAAAUAUUUAUAGGAUAUGGAUGGGCUCGCGUGACAUUAGCUAGUUGGAGGGGUAACGGCCCACCAAGGCUACGAUGUCUAGGGGCUCUGAGAGGAGAAUCCCCCACACUGGUACUGAGACACGGACCAGACUCCUACGGGAGGCAGCAGUAAGGAAUAUUGGUCAAUGGAGGGAACUCUGAACCAGCCAUGCCGCGUGCAGGAUGACUGCCCUAUGGGUUGUAAACUGCUUUUGUCAGGGAAUAAACCUUUCCACGUGUGGGAAGCUGAAUGUACCUGAAGAAUAAGGAUCGGCUAACUCCGUGCCAGCAGCCGCGGUAAUACGGAGGAUCCAAGCGUUAUCCGGAUUUAUUGGGUUUAAAGGGUGCGUAGGCGGUCCUAUAAGUCAGUGGUGAAAGACGGCAGCUUAACUGUCGCAGUGCCUUUGAUACUGUAGGACUUGAAUCUAUUUGAAGUGGGCGGAAUAAGACAAGUAGCGGUGAAAUGCAUAGAUAUGUCUUAGAACUCCGAUUGCGAAGGCAGCUCACUAAGUUAGUAUUGACGCUGAUGCACGAAAGCGUGGGGAUCAAACAGGAUUAGAUACCCUGGUAGUCCACGCCCUAAACGAUGAUAACUCGAUGUUUGCGAUACACAGUAAGCGUCCAAGCGAAAGCGUUAAGUUAUCCACCUGGGGAGUACGGUCGCAAGAUUGAAACUCAAAGGAAUUGACGGGGCCCGCACAAGCGGAGGAGCAUGUGGUUUAAUUCGAUGAUACGCGAGGAACCUUACCCGGGCUUGAAAGUUA